RNAcentral lists this small nucleolar RNA (137 nucleotides) under Microcebus murinus (gray mouse lemur). The record is from RNAcentral. Lineage: Eukaryota; Metazoa; Chordata; Mammalia; Primates; Cheirogaleidae.
UUGGCCCUGAAUCAAGGCCAGCAGUUUGCUGAAGCUGUUGGUUUCAAACAGGAGCCUAAAGAAUUAUCUUUCUAUGGUCUGUCGGCCAUUUCAGAACUUUGGUAAUGUAAUGGUCAAUUCAUUAGAAACAAACAUCU